This 215-nucleotide ribosomal RNA is filed under the name Clostridiales bacterium. Its description in RNAcentral is "partial 16S ribosomal RNA". It matches the Rfam family "Bacterial small subunit ribosomal RNA", at positions 103 to 316 of the family's 1533-position model. Lineage: Bacteria; Bacillati; Bacillota; Clostridia; Eubacteriales. The record is from RNAcentral.
CGGGUGAGUAACGCGUGAGCAACUUGCCUUUAUCAGGGGGAUAACACUGGGAAACCGGUGCUAAUACCGCAUAAUGCAUCACUUCUGCAUGGGAGAGAUGUCAAAGGAGAAAUCCGGGUAGAGAUGGGCUCGCGUCCGAUUAGGUAGUUGGUGAGAUAAAAGCUCACCAAGCCAACGAUCGGUAGCCGGACUGAGAGGUUGAACGGCCACAUUGG